GACGAACGCUGGCGGCGUGCUUAACACAUGCAAGUCGAACGGAAAGGCCUGCUUUCCCUUGUGGAUUGCGGGUACUCGAGUGGCGAACGGGUGAGUAACACGUGAGUGAUCUGCCCCCAACUUGGGUAUAAGCCUGGGAAACUGGGUCUAAUUCCCGAUAGGACUGCAGGGUGGUGCCUGUGGUGGAAAACGAUUUUCUAGUGGUUGGGGAUGAGCUCGCGGCCUAUCAGCUUGUUGGUGGGGUAAUGGCCUACCAAGGCGGCGACGGGUAGCCGACCUGAGAGGGUGGACGGCCACAUUGGGACUGAGAUACGGCCCAGACUCCUACGGGAGGCAGCAGUGGGGAAGAGUGCACAAUGGGCGGAAGCCUGAUGCAGCGACGCCGCGUGGGGGAUGACGGCCUUCGGGUUGUAAACUCCUUUCGACCGCGAGGAAGCCACCUGGUUGGAAGGGUGGUGACGGUAGUGGUAGAAGAAGCACCGGCUAACUACGUG
RNAcentral lists this ribosomal RNA (494 nucleotides) under uncultured bacterium. RNAcentral's name for it is "partial 16S ribosomal RNA". It matches the Rfam family "Bacterial small subunit ribosomal RNA", at positions 28 to 507 of the family's 1533-position model. The record is from RNAcentral.